AUGCUUAACACAUGCAAGUCGAACGAGAAAGUGGAGCAAUCCGUGAGUAAAGUGGCGACCGGGUGAGUAACACGUGACUAACCUACCUCCGAGUGGGGAAUAACUUCGGGAAACCGGGGCUAAUACCGCAUAACAUCACAAGAUCAAAGCAGCAAUGCGCUUGGAGAGGGGGUCGCGGCUGAUUAGCUAGUUGGCGGGGUAACGGCCCACCAAGGCGAAGAUCGGUAUCCGGCCUGAGAGGGCGCACGGACACACUGGAACUGAAACACGGUCCAGACUCCUACGGGAGGCAGCAGUGGGGAAUUUUGCGCAAUGGGGGAAACCCUGACGCAGCAACGCCGCGUGGAGGAUGAAGCCCUUUGGGGCGUAAACUCCUUUCGACCAAGACGAUAAUGACGGUACUGGUGGAAGAAGCACCGGCUAACUCUGUGCCAGCAGCCGCGGUAAUACAGAGGGUGCGAGCGUUGUUCGGAAUUAUUGGGCGUAAAGGGCGCGUAGGCGGUGCGGUAAGUCACCUGUGAAACCUCUGGGCUUAACUCAGAGCCUGCAGGCGAAACUGCCGUGCUGGAGUGUGGGAGAGGUGCGUGGAAUUCCCGGUGUAGCGGUGAAAUGCGUAGAUAUCGGAAGGAACACCAGUGG
RNAcentral lists this ribosomal RNA (639 nucleotides) under uncultured bacterium. RNAcentral describes it as "bacterial SSU rRNA". It matches the Rfam family "Bacterial small subunit ribosomal RNA", at positions 44 to 715 of the family's 1533-position model. The record is from RNAcentral.